Molecule: ribosomal RNA, 254 nt
Filed under: uncultured bacterium
Lineage: Bacteria
Description: partial 16S ribosomal RNA
Rfam family: Bacterial small subunit ribosomal RNA
Source: RNAcentral
UACGGAGUGUGCGAGCGUUAUCCGGAAUCACUGGGUUUAAAGGGUGCGUAGGCGGUCUGAUAAGUCAGUUGUGAAAUUCCCCGGCUUAACCGGGUGGACUGCGAUUGAUACUGUGAGACUUGAAUCAGGUUGAGGUAGGCGGAAUGUGACAUGUAGCGGUGAAAUGCUUAGAUAUGUCAUAGAACACCGAUUGCGAAGGCAGCUUGCUAGACCUGGACUGACGCUGAGGCACGAAAGCGUGGGGAGCAAACAGG